Molecule: non-coding RNA, 4718 nt
Organism: Heterocephalus glaber (naked mole-rat)
Lineage: Eukaryota; Metazoa; Chordata; Mammalia; Rodentia; Bathyergidae
Source: RefSeq, a predicted model, not a curated record
CACCCUGAGGACAGAGUGAGGCAGUGACACCUCAUCUCCUUGUGGAGGACAGAGCGAUGCAUGGCAGCUUCUAUGACUGGUAAAAUCAGUCCAGUCACCGAGAAAUGUCCAUGAGAGGCGAAAGUGCACCCAAUUGAGAAACAGAGUUCACGACGACACUGCGACUUCCUCAUGCUGGUCCAGUUAGGCCACUUCCCGGAGCAACCAAAGGCCACUUGCAGCCCCUUAGCCUGGGCAGAAGCACCAUGAGAGCCUGGUGCCACCAUCUCUCGUGCCUUGGAGUACCUCAGAGGUCCCCGUCAGGCCCUGUGAAGACAGGGCGGGCAUCCUUGAGGCCCCAAAGGCCCGUUGGACAAGAUAUAAGUUUCUGUCCGGACCCAGGGCUUCUGUCCAGCUGCAAAGAGGAACGACUCUGACCACGUGAUCAUCGGAGUUCCUGUUCCCUGCAGAAUUGAGGUCUCCUGCUCCGCUCAGCGUCCCAGGGUCCCACGGGGCUUCCCACGCCUCUCCGCCCUCUUGUGCUCACUCACAGGCGCCCAGGAGCCGCUGCAUGAGACAUGCUGCCGCCUCUGCUGCUGCCCCUGCUGUGGGCAGGGUCUCUGGCUCAGUAUCCGAGAUACAGGCUGCGCAUGCCAAAGUCAGUGUUGGUGCCAGAGGGUCUGUGCGUCCUCGUGCCCUGCCAGUUCCACUACUACUUUGGCCUCAAGUCUGGCUCUGUGUCCGGCUCCUGGUUCCGGGAGGGCUCUGAAUCUCUCCGGGACUUGCCAGUGGCCACAAACAACCCACAACAGCAAGUGCGGGAGGAGACUCGGGGCCGGUUCAGCCUCCUCUGGGACCCACAGACCAGGAACUGCUCCCUGCACAUCAGGGAUGCACGGAGAGGCGACAGCGGUUCAUACUUCUUUUACAUGCACCCAGAAAGCUCCAGGAGGAAUUUCUAUUGGAACCAGGUCACUGUGUACGUCGCAGCCCUGAAUCACACACCGGACGUCUUCAUGCCGGGGACUCUGGAGUCCGGCCGCCCCAGCAACCUGACCUGCUCUGUGCCCUGGGCCUGUGAGCAGGGGACGCCCCCCAUUUUCUCCUGGGCGGGCGCCUCUGUAUCCCACCUGGACCCCGCUGUCACCAGCUCCCCCGUGCUCACCCUCAGCCCCCGGCCCCAGGACCAUGGCACAGCUCUCACCUGUCAGGUGAUGCUCCCUGGAGCCGGUGUGACUGUGGAGAGGACUGUGCGGCUCAACGUCACCGAUUCUGCCAGGAGCCCCACAGCUGGUGUCUCCCUGGGAGCCGGCUCAGGGCGGACCAUUUACAUUUCCCACAGUGAGGGCUGAGGCUGUGUUUUCAUCCACUGAGUGCACCAACGCCUCUCUGUUAGAUUGGUUUUUGGGUUUUGGUGCCGAGGACUGGACCUGGGGCUGAGCAUGAAGGUUCCCUCCCAGCCUCACUUCCCACCCUCAGAGGGAGCCUUUGGAUCUAUGCCAGCGUUGAGUAACACUUGCUGUCCUCACUACAAGUUUACAAGUUCAUAUCCAUAUGCUUUUGAGAUAGCAUUCACUAGCAUUAAAUUCAGCACUGCUUUCACAUACGCAACAACCUGAGCAUUCCCAAAGAUGUGUGACGCUCGCAACUAUGAAAUUCAGGACUUUUCAUCAGCUGCAGACAAAGCUCCUGCAUGCACAAAGCAGCGGCUCCACCUUCUUCACCCCUGAGGAACACCAGCCCCCGUGUCUCAGUGGCGUUGCCUACACCGGACAUAGCACAGAAGCGGAAUCAUCCACACUGCAGCCUUAUGUGUCUGGCUGCUUCGUGUAACACUGUGCUUGUUAAGGUUCGCCCAUGUACUGGGGGUUUGUAGCUCAUUCCUUUUCAGACUCAGUGACACCCCAUUGCAUGCAUAGACCUCGUUUUGCUCAUCCAUUUAUCAGGUGACGAACCCUAGGCUUGUUUGUACUUUUGGACUGUUGUCGAUGAUGCUCCUAGGAACAUGGGGGUAAACGUUUUGUCUGAGCAGAUUGUUUCAUUUCCCCUGGGCACAUAACUACCAGCAGAAUUAGGAAGAGUCCUGCAGUACAGAGUGUAAGGUUUUGAGGAAAUGCGGAAUUGUCCUGCAGUACAGAGUGUAAGGUUUUGAGGAAAUGCGGAAUUGUCCUGCAGUGUUGGCCUCACGCUGUGUUCCCACCAACCAUGUUCAAGAGGUGUAGCAUUGCAUUCAAAAGCUCCCCACAUUCUUCCCAACACAACUGCUCACCUUUUCACCAAAACAGUGCCCUGCCAGUGGGUAUGAGGGGUCAUCUCCUUGCCAUUUUGCUUAGCAGUAAGCUAAAAACUAAGGAUGAUGGCAAUCUCUUCAUGCAGUUAUGGGCCAUUUGUAGAUCUUCAGAGACAUAUUUUUCGAGUUCUCUGUGCAUGUACUAUUGGGUCAUAGAGGUGCCUUGCAGUUUGGUCUGUGGGGUCCUCUCUGCUUGCUGGAGAGCAGACCUUUAUCACAUCACACUGCAGGGCACUUUCUCCACUUCUUCAAAUACUUGCAGAUAUCUCCUCCAGUUCCACAGAGUCGCCUUUUCACUGUCUUCAUAUCAUCUAUUAAUAAACAAAGGUUGACCUUUUUUUAUAAAAGGAAAAUUACGUUUUCUCUGUGCAACUGCAGAAGAGUUGGAGCGUGUGGUGCAGAGGCCCAGACUGAUGUGGCCUCUUCCUCAGAGAUGAAGGGAGGUGUGCAGGGUCCAUAUCCAAGUUCUACGUGACAGGAGGGACUGGGGUUCUGUUUUGGCUGAAGAAUCCAGCCUCACCCACUUUCCCGCAGGGAAACCAGGCCCCGUGGCCGAGGUGGUGCUGGUGACCAUUGUAGAGGUGGCUGUCAAGGUCCUGCUCCUCGGGCUCUGCCUCAUCUUCCUCAGAUUGAGCUACCAUAGGAUGAAGGUGGCAAGGCCGAAAGUGGACUUGGACGCUGUCAUGAGUUAGUCUCUCUGCACCAGCCUACGGGAUGUGAUUGCAGACACAGUCAUCGUCCACUUCCUGCGCAGUCUGAACAGCCUUGUGUCCCCUCCGCGGACAGAGACAGUGACAAAAGCUAUGUCCGGGCUGGAGGCCUCGCAUGAGCUGUGCCCUGCUGGACUCUCCUUAGGGCCUCCUCUCUCUGCUCCAUGAAGCUCUCACCACAGCCACCAGCCAGGCCCUCCUGGCCCGGAGACUGCACGUGCACUUCCUGCUCCUGAAACGCCCUCCCCCAUUCCUUCCCAUCCAAGUACUGAUCACACUCCAGGCUCCAGUUACAGUGUUGCUCAAGUGUGUGUGCAUGCAUGUGUGGGUGUGUUAGUUCUUCAGCAUCCUCUAGGUUCGGUCUACAAUGUGUGCAUUUACUUCUUGAAUGAUCCAUGGAGGGAUGACAUUCCCCCAUUGUUUAUAGACUACUUUGGUAACUAACACCGAGUUCCUACCAUGUGCCAGGGUAUUUGUGGGUACCAGAGGUGCCUCAAUGGACAGCAUCUUAGUCUCUGUCAUCAAGAAGCCAUUGGUCUAGAGAAAAGAGGAACGGGAAUAAAAAGAAAUAAAUAGGAUGACAUAGACAUAGGAUGGUGUUUGGCACCCGGAGAAAAAGCGUGCAGACACAGAAUCUGGUGGUACGGGGGUCAGUCCCUGUGUCUGGCGUGGUGAGAGGUGAUGCUUGGGCUCACUGGAAGGAGGGGAGGAAGCAGGAUCUGAGUCAUUCCAGGAAGUCAUAUUGGAAGAGGAAAAGGAGGACACGUGGCGUAUUGUUCAGAGGCUGACGCCAGUCUGGAAUCAAAAGAAGCUGGUGUUUUAGGGCAGAGGAAGGCAGAAGGACAGGGAGCAGCAACAAGGCAGGUGCAGAGAGUGGGCGCCCUGCAGGGGGAGGCAGAACCCACAGCCUUUUCAGAGACAGGGCCAUGACUGGAAUUUCACUUUACUAGAAUUGCCCAGGCUGUCCUCUUGAGGACAAGCCAGAGCAGAUUCUGGCAGCAGCUGAGAGAAGGGUGUCUUAGUCAGCUUUCUGUCACUGUGACAAAACACCAGAGGUAAGUAAGGUAUAAAGCUGGACAGUGAACCUUGGCCCUUAGUCUCAGUGGGUCCAGUCCACCAUCAUUUGGCCCCCUUACCUUUGGGCCUGUGGUACCUGUGGCUUCACGGCCCUGGCGCUUCCUGGGGAGGCCUGCUCACCCCAAGAGGGAGCCAGAGUCCCAGUGUAGCCUGCAAGAGGACGCUCCCACUGACCUAAGUAACACCCUCCCAGUAGCUGCUACGGCCUAAAGGUUCUACCACCUCCCAGUUGGACCCCACACUGGGGACCAGGUCUUCAACACGUGGGCCUUUGGGAACAUUUCUGACCCAAACCACAGAAAAUGGGAAGGUCCCAUGGAACUUCCUAGAGGAGCAGACAGCCAGAGGAGCCAGUGAGGUGGUGUGGGGGAGCCGGAGUGAGUCGGGUGAUGUGGAGGGCCAGCUGACAGGGUGCCCUUUUUAUUUUAUUGGUACAUACUGCGGUGUGAAGUGAUUACAGAGCUUUGGAUGAAUCAGGACAGAUCUAUCACAUCUCCAUCAGCUCCGACCCCCUUUCUCACCUCCCCCUUGCACAGGUCCCUCAUUUCCUUCUCCAAGGAGUCUACUCCCUCAUUUCCUAUCAUGUUCCCUUUACUUUGGUCUUUAGAUUAUUUGUAAGAAUGGUUUUUCAUAUAAGACAAAGAAAGUGCUAUUAAACCUUC